GGUCGGGUCCUGCGCGAUCGCAGUCCGUGAACCGAGUCAGGGCCGGGAGGCAGCAGCUCUCAGCGGAGCCUGCGAUGUGCCUCAGGUCGCCUGGCCGCC
Molecule: signal recognition particle RNA, 99 nt
Filed under: Acidimicrobiia bacterium
Lineage: Bacteria; Bacillati; Actinomycetota; Acidimicrobiia
Description: signal recognition particle sRNA small type
Rfam family: Bacterial small signal recognition particle RNA
About the family: The signal recognition particle (SRP) is a universally conserved ribonucleoprotein involved in the co-translational targeting of proteins to membranes. Archaeal SRP consists of a 7S RNA and homologues of the eukaryotic SRP19 and SRP54 proteins. In most bacteria, the SRP consists of a 4.5S RNA and the Ffh protein (a homologue of the eukaryotic SRP54 protein).
Source: RNAcentral